This is a non-coding RNA of Myotis brandtii (Brandt's bat), 75 nucleotides long. Lineage: Eukaryota; Metazoa; Chordata; Mammalia; Chiroptera; Vespertilionidae. The record is from Rfam.
CUCGGGGCAGGGGGGGUCCCUCAGCCCAGAUUGCAAGAGGACGCAGUCCAGGCCGAGGGACCCCAUCAGUGCACA